GGGAGUUUAGCUCAGCUGGGAGAGCAUCUGCCUUACAAGCAGGGGGUCACAGGUUCGAUCCCUGUAAUUCCCA
RNAcentral lists this transfer RNA (73 nucleotides) under Clostridia bacterium. RNAcentral describes it as "tRNA-Val". It matches the Rfam family "tRNA". From Rfam's summary of the family: Transfer RNA (tRNA) molecules are approximately 80 nucleotides in length. Their secondary structure includes four short double-helical elements and three loops (D, anti-codon, and T loops). Lineage: Bacteria; Bacillati; Bacillota; Clostridia. The record is from RNAcentral.